UCGGUUUCUCCCUUCUGACGAACCAUGAUGUCAUUUAUUUGGUGUUGUGGGGAAUCAGGACUGUUACUUUGAAAAAAUUAGAGUGCUUAAAGCAGGCUCACGCUUGAAUACAUUAGCAUGGAAUAAUGAAAUAGGACGUUUGAUUCUAUUUUGUUGGUUUCUAGGAUCGACGUAAUGAUUAAUAGGGAUAGCUGGGGGCAUUAGUAUUCAAUUGUCAGAGGUGAAAUUCUUGGAUUUAUUGAAGACUAACUACUGCGAAAGCAUUUGCCAAGGAUGUUUUCAUUAGUCAUGAACGAAAGUUAGGGGAUCGAAGACGAUCAGAUACCGUCGUAGUCUUAACCAUAAACUAUGCCGACUAGGGAUCGGAUGAUGUUAAUUUUUUAAUGACUCAUUCGGCGCCUUACG
RNAcentral lists this ribosomal RNA (405 nucleotides) under uncultured Glomeromycotina. RNAcentral's name for it is "SSU rRNA". It matches the Rfam family "Eukaryotic small subunit ribosomal RNA", at positions 689 to 1092 of the family's 1831-position model. The record is from RNAcentral. Lineage: Eukaryota; Fungi; Glomeromycota.